UUUUUUUUUCUGAGUUUUCAGAGACCAGUCUCGAACCACGGCAUUCUUCUCGGUUGUUUGUAUAAUUGACUCUUCCAUUAGAAACCCAUUUUUUUUGGCAACCGAUCUCUAGUCAACACCUUCCUAGUAUGAUGCCUAUGAUGCAUGAUGAAAAAUAAGAACACAGACAAACAUCUUGGUUAGUACGACAAAUAUGAAUUACGGAAAAUCAAAAUAGAAAG
This 221-nucleotide long non-coding RNA is filed under the name Gossypium barbadense (sea-island cotton). RNAcentral describes it as "long non-coding RNA (GBAR_LNC004999)". The record is from RNAcentral. Lineage: Eukaryota; Viridiplantae; Streptophyta; Magnoliopsida; Malvales; Malvaceae.